CCUACGGGAGGCAGCAGUGGGGAAUUUUGGACAAUGGGCGAAAGCCUGAUCCAGCAAUGCCGCGUGCAGGAAGAAGGCCUUCGGUUGUAAACUGCUUUUGUACGGAGCGAAAAGGCUCUCUCUAAUACAGGGGGCUCAUGACGGUACCGUAAGAAUAAGCACCGGCUAACUACGUGCCAGCAGCCGCGGUAAUACGUAGGGUGCAAGCGUUAAUCGGAAUUACUGGGCGUAAAGCGUGCGCAGGCGGUUUUGUAAGACAGGCGUGAAAUCCCCGGGCUCAACCUGGGAAUGGCGCUUGUGACUGCAAAGCUGGAGUGCGGCAGAGGGGGAUGGAAUUCCGCGUGUAGCAGUGAAAUGCGUAGAUAUGCGGAGGAACACCGAUGGCGAAGGCAAUCCCCUGGGCCUGCACUGACGCUCAUGCACGAAAGCGUGGGGAGCAAACAGGAUUAGAUACCCUGGUAGUCCACGCCCUAAACGAUGUCAACUGGUUGUUGGGUCUUUACUGACUCAGUAACGAAGCUAACGCGUGAAGUUGACCGCCUGGGGAGGACGGCCGCGAGUAGAACGUACGAAGUAGAGUUAGACGGACGUGAGACGUUGCCGACGGACGACGACGAGGGAGGAGG
RNAcentral lists this ribosomal RNA (626 nucleotides) under uncultured bacterium. RNAcentral's name for it is "bacterial SSU rRNA". The stretch from base 1 to 541 matches the Rfam family "Bacterial small subunit ribosomal RNA", at positions 338 to 873 of the family's 1533-position model. The record is from RNAcentral.